UGCCAGCCGCCGCGGUAAUACGAAGGGUGCUAGCGUUGUUCGGAAUUACUGGGCGUAAAGGGCGUGUAGGCGGAUAUGUAAGUUAGGGGUGAAAUCCCGGGGCUCAACCUCGGAACUGCCUUUAAUACUGCAUAUCUAGAAUCCAUGAGGGGAUAGUGGAAUAUCAAGUGUAGAGGUGAAAUUCGUAGAUAUUUGAUGGAACACCAGUGGCGAAGGCGACUAUCUGGCAUGGCAUUGACGCUGAGGCGCGAAAGCGUGGGGAGCAAACAGGAUUAGAUA
Molecule: ribosomal RNA, 279 nt
Filed under: uncultured bacterium
Lineage: Bacteria
Description: partial 16S ribosomal RNA
Rfam family: Bacterial small subunit ribosomal RNA
Source: RNAcentral